Molecule: ribosomal RNA, 301 nt
Filed under: uncultured bacterium
Lineage: Bacteria
Description: partial 16S ribosomal RNA
Rfam family: Bacterial small subunit ribosomal RNA
Source: RNAcentral
CAGUCGCCACGGGAAUACAGAGGGUGCGAGCGUUAAUCGGAUUUACUGGGCGUAAAGCGUGCGUAGGCGGCUUUUUAAGUCGGAUGUGAAAUCCCUGAGCUUAACUUAGGAAUUGCAUUCGAUACUGGGAAGCUAGAGUAUGGGAGAGGAUGGUAGAAUUCCAGGUGUAGCGGUGAAAUGCGUAGAGAUCUGGAGGAAUACCGAUGGCGAAGGCAGCCAUCUGGCCUAAUACUGACGCUGAGGUACGAAAGCAUGGGGAGCAAACAGGAUUAGUACCCCCGUAGUCCCUGUCUCUUAUACA